CCUUCUUCCUGCGCCCACCCCGCCCUCAGGAAUGCUGCAUGGCCUCCCCCGAGCGGCGGUGGGAGCCUCGGCCCGGGAGAGCCCGCUUAGGGGCAGGAAGUGGCCCGGCCCUCCUUGUGGAGGGCGUUUCCGGAGCGCCUACUGUGCUCCUCGCUGGGGUGGGGGUCGUUACCGAAGGGGGAACGCCUGGAAAUUCUAACUUUUGUCAGUUCGCGCCCCGCACCAGACGUCCUGCCGGCUUUUCGAUUCCUCUCAUUGCCUCGAGGGGAAACUGAGGCCAGUUAGUCUGGGCAGUUAACCGCAGCUGAUAAAGGACUGGGCUGUGAUGGGGACGCCUGUUAUGCCCUCAAGGGCCUGUAGAGUCUGGGAGGCCGCCUUCCGCCCUAAGCUCAGAAAGCACAUUGUUGGGCUCGCAGGGAGGCUGCCAGAGGUGAAAACAGCCAACGCUUUCAACGAUGCUGUAAGGGGCACUUCGUGUGUGACAUCCCGUCUCAUCCUCGGGUGAUGGGGCCCUAAGCCAAUCAGAAUGUUGAUUAAAGGAUUGUUAAGGUUUCACCUGGACACCCCAUCGAAGCCAGACUCCCUGCAAAUGUUAGAAACCUUCUCACAGCAGCAGAACUGUUCGGGGAAAUUGCAAACAGCUAAAUACCCCUCACCAGGAGCUGGUUCCUUAUAGCAACUCUGAGACCUCUACUGCGGGCUUUUAAAAUGGGAUACUGCGUUUCUCACAAAUUGAAGGGUUUUGGCAACCCUGCGUUGAGCAAAGUCUCCCGGCAUCAUUUUUUCAAAAGCAUGCUCAGUCUGUGUCUCUGUGCCAGAUUUUGGUAAUUCUUGCAAUAUUUCAAAGUUUGUUGUUAUAUCUAAUAUGGUGAUCUGAGCUCAGUAAUCUUUGCUGUUACUAUUGUAAUUGUUUUGAGGCACCAUGAAUGAUGCCUGUGUAAGAGGGCAAACUUAAUCCAUCAAUAUUGUAUGCAUUCUAACUGUUCCACCAACCAGCUGUUUGAAAUUAGUAAUCCUACAAUAGCCUCUAAGUGUUCAAAUGUAAGGAAGAGUUGCAAAUCUCCCACUUCACAUCAAGGGCUAGAAAUAGUUAAGCUCAGUGAGAAAGGCAUGUUGAAAGACAAGAUAAGCCUUUUUUUUUUUUUUUUUUUUAAAGUUUUUA
Molecule: long non-coding RNA, 1162 nt
Organism: Cebus imitator (Panamanian white-faced capuchin)
Lineage: Eukaryota; Metazoa; Chordata; Mammalia; Primates; Cebidae
Exons: 4
Source: RefSeq, a predicted model, not a curated record